CACACACACCACACACUCACGGCGUGCACACCCCCCCUCACACACGGCGGCCUAGUAAGCAAAAUGCUUUUUCUUGUGAUGUCCUGCAGAAUAGUGCAAUUGUUUGGUAGAAGUCUUACAAAUUGUCUUACAAAAAGCCUGGAAUAUUAUUAUUUGCGAUAAUAAUUAUUUGCGAGAAGUUUAAGAUAAUGCUGUCUCACUUGACGAGAUUUCUAUAUAAUUCGGGAUUCACAAGACUCAGUGCUAUCUUGCGAGCACAGUACCUAAGCGAUAAUUAUGACAGUAUACAAUGGCCAUCCAGAAAUGUUUGUUUUUGUGGAUGAGACUGGUAUAUCUCUAGUGUAAUUGUAUUGGACAAUCUGAUAAUGCAAUUGCAGGGUCAUUUUCUUCCUCCAUGUUGCCAAUCCCAUGCUUUUCAAAAGUGAAGUCACGCAAAUGAAGAAGCAAUACACAGCUGUGAUGGAUAAUACAUGGAUAAUACAUGGAUAAUACAUGCUGGUUACACAUAGUCAUAGAGUGAGAUUUAGAGCUAUGUUCUUCUUGUGACAAUACAUUUGCUUAAGGUCUUCUAAACAGCUGCGUCUUAACUGGGCACGGGAAGAUGUUGGUGCACGUGAAGGAGACUUUAUAGCAGCACUAGCAAAAGCAUCGGACAUACUUUCUUUUUUCCUUUUAGCUGGUGAUGUGGAGGUGUAUCAUGUUUUGAGGUGUAUCAUAGUCCUAGUGGUGGCUUAGUUGUGCCAAGUCAAAGCUUUGGGUAAGGGAUGCUUGGCAGGUAGAGCCGGGGGUCCGUUGCACAUAAUUAUACCUUAUACCUUCACACCCUUCACACCACAAAUUAAUAUUGUCUUCUUGUACAUAUCCAUUAAAUCUCGCCCUCGUCCAUGAUAAUAUCCACAUAAGUCAUGAGAAACGUCGUCAGGAAAUGAUUCAGCUUUGACCCAAGUCACUGUUUUGUCCAUAGGUAUUGGUAUUUGGAGUGGCACUAGCACUACCUAUACUGUACUGUGUGUGCUUGUUCUGAAUAUCACCACGUGUGUACUUGUACAGUAAUCACAAAUACCUGACGUGCUAGAGAUACGGAACGUUCAAUGCUUUUUUGUUGAGUAUUGCAAAGAUUCUGCAAAACCCUGUAGACGGUAGCCGAACUAUGCCCAAUUUGUCUCAACAAGGAAUCUGAUACUGGUACUCCUGUGGGACCAACAGAUUGGGUGAAAGCCACUAUGGUAGUGACAUAAGGUAGCUAUUAAAAAAGGUGAUGGUGAUGAUAUACACUUGUUUAAAUCGGUGGGUGUUAAGUGAUAGUCAAUAAUUGUUGUGUUUAUGAGUUUGUCGACUGUCGACCUAGCCCUCCUGUAGAUUUUUUAUUACCACUAUCCAUACUUCCAGGAAAGUCAGGAAGAAAUGGUGAGGCCACGUUCAACUACUGUAUACACUUGUUUAAAUCGAUGGGUGUUAAGUGAUAGUCAAUAAUUGUUGUAUUUUUAUGUUGUCGACCGUCGACCUAGCCCUCCUGUAGAUUUUUUAUAACCACUAUCCAUACUUCCAGGAAAGUCAGGAAGAAAUGGUGAGGCCACGUUCAACUACUGUGCCGAGUCGGCUAGUCAGCAGUUGACAAGAAAAGAUAAUUGCAUGACAGUGCAAAUCAUCAAUCAUCGGCUAUUGGAUACGUUCACUCCUCUCACCCACGGUGCACUUUCAUCAUUCAACGGAGAGUUGAGAGUGUAAAGUUGGAGUUGGAGAGUAGUCCAUGAACAUUUGGGAUGGAACAACUCUCUGCGUCUGUGAACCAACUCCAAGAGACCUCCACGUAAAUUCCCGAUGAAGCAAACUGACACCCAAUGUGGACUCACAUGGCCGAAGGUCCGUGCCCUGCAAUCGGAAAAACUUGCAACAAACCCAACCAUGUAUGUUUGUCCAAAUCAACAAUGCCACGCAGUAAAAUUAACGUAUACGACAAGUUGGAACUGCACCCAGGUUCUGGUAUCAAGUGUGACCAAGGAAGUUGCACUUUUUACUUACAAAUACCACAAAGUAUGUUUACAGCCAUGCUAGCUAGCUGUUCUAGCUAGCCUAUGUAUUUUAUUUUGCACACUGUGCACAGUAGGUAAAAAGAUUUUCUUGUGCAGGCCAACAUGGAUAUUGAUAGCUGCUCCAUCACCUUGCUGGAAUGGAGGAAUCACAAGCAAGCUUUUUCCUGAAUUUCAGAAAAUCUGUAGUCUAAAUGAGAAAGCAGCUCGUCAAGAAAGGCGGUAGUACACCUCGGGCAGGGACACUGUGAGGCCCUUUGUGUACUGGAGGCAUUCUUUUGCAACCACAAAAGAGAUAAUGAACUGGUAUCUUGUGAUGCAAAUUAGAAGACUCUCUGCUGCACGACAAGACUCGCCACUCGAACUAAUGAUUGAAAAUGUUUCAACAACUGCAGGAAAAAGAUCAAAGACACCUCCAGGGCAUUUACACGGGCAACCCAUAAAGCUUACCAAUUUUUGUGCUCAUCUGUUUUUCUAACUGCAUUUUUUUCAGGCCAUAGUAAUGAUGUUGUCCCUUACAGUGUUGAGAAAACAUGCAAGUGUUGGAUGUGUGGGUGGAAGUAUUUCAAGUUUAUUCAUAACCAGACCCACUUUCAAGAAGCUAACUAUUCUACCACAAUGAGUACUGUGUAUACAGUGGAUUGCAGUGCACUUGCACCCAAAACAGCAAAACCACAAAAUAUGAAUGUUGUUAAUAUGAAAUUGUAUUACAUAAUGGGUAAUGCCACGUGGUUACUAGAUCUGAAUAUUGAUACUUUCUUUCUAGACUCUAUAUAGCUAACUAACAGCUGCCAUGGAUGGAGACUCUGGAAUACCCUCUAAAGUAGUACAGCAGAAUCACUUUGGGCAUGUACAGCUACAGUGGUCAAGGUUUACCUGCCCAUAUCAACUCCUGUCAGUUUCUUCAAUCACACCAAGGAAGUGCCCGAGAGCGAUGCUUUUAGUGUGGGCUACUAUGAAAAACCCAAUAACUCAAAACGCUCUCAAGAUGCAAUGUGAUGGAUGACACCAUUAACCUCUGGCGUGUAGAGGUGGAGCAUUCAAAGAAACGAGAUCACAGUGAUGAUAGCAGCGGAGAACCAAGAAAUAAGCGAUCAAAGAAAGAGAAGGAUAUUGAAGAUGCGUUAAAGAAUCUUCAGGAAAAGCACAGUGAGCAGUAUAGUGACCCUCAACUAAGGCUGUGGGCUCGUAUGUAUGUAAAUGGAAUACACGCCGAUCUUGAGACUCCACCGGAUGUGCCGGCUAUAACUGGCGGCUAUAACUGGUCAUGUUGUCAAGCGCAAAGAAUCAAACCGAUCACUUGCUGAAGCUCUGGCAGGAGCAGCAACAGCUGUUACCAAGAUGUUAGUCCCUCCUAAGAAGAAGUUUACGGAUGGGAUAUCACCGUUCAGUAAAGCCAACUUAAGUGGACAGUAUUUACAGCAAUUACGUACACUGCAACAGCUUAGAGAAGAUGCUACUUUGACAGAGGAAGAAUUUCAGGAACAAAAGAGCAUGCUUUUGAGAAACAUUAAAGGUCUAAAUGCAAAUGCAAAAAAAUAAUUAAUUCAUUUUUGUGUCACAAAUUCAUGUUACAAUUAGAAGCAUGUAGCUAUACAUGUAUAAUUUAUUACUUAACUAUUAUAAUAGAUCAAAAUAAAUAUCCUGAAUGUUUGAUCCACUGACAACAAUCAUGAGGCGUAAUACUCAGAAAAGCAGACAGAAUGAAGUCAUCAUCCGCAACAGCUUGAAUGGCAGCUUCGUUUGCCUUCAAGUGAUACUUAACUUUAGAGAAGGCAAUACGGUGGCAGAAAAUGUAAUAACGCCCCAAUGCUUUGGAGUUGCUUAACAACCCCAUCUGUGUGGUGGAUAGACGCAUUAUCAAGAAUGACAACACUGUGAGGAUUGGAACC
Halichondria panicea is the source of this 3922-nucleotide long non-coding RNA. RefSeq lists it as uncharacterized. Lineage: Eukaryota; Metazoa; Porifera; Demospongiae; Suberitida; Halichondriidae. The record is from RefSeq and is a predicted model, not a curated record. The transcript is spliced from 3 exons.